This 87-nucleotide transfer RNA is filed under the name Caudoviricetes sp. RNAcentral describes it as "tRNA-Ser". It matches the Rfam family "tRNA". From Rfam's summary of the family: Transfer RNA (tRNA) molecules are approximately 80 nucleotides in length. Their secondary structure includes four short double-helical elements and three loops (D, anti-codon, and T loops). The record is from RNAcentral. Lineage: Duplodnaviria; Heunggongvirae; Uroviricota; Caudoviricetes.
GGAAGUAUGGCAGAGAGGCUUAUUGCAACGGUCUUGAAAAUCGUAGAGUCUUAAAAGGCUCCGUAGGUUCGAAUCCUACUACUUCCG